This is an RNA transcript of Mesocricetus auratus (golden hamster), 1731 nucleotides long. RefSeq lists it as uncharacterized. The transcript has 5 exons. The record is from RefSeq and is a predicted model, not a curated record. Lineage: Eukaryota; Metazoa; Chordata; Mammalia; Rodentia; Cricetidae.
AUAUAAGACAGAAGCAAGGUCUCAGAGAGGCAUUCGUUCUCCGGCGAGCCUGAGGAGAGGCAGCAGUCUGAGACUUGGUGAAGAGUUCGUGUGUGGACCAGCCCCUUCAGUCUGAACUAGAGGUCCAUCCCUUCACUGGCUGGCAUUAGAGCCAACUUUGGGAUUCCAGCAUAAAUUGAAGACCAGCUGAGACAUCCAGCCUCAUAGACUGAGAAACUUCUGGAUUCUCGGACUAUCCAGCCAUAGCCAGCCUCCUGACUUUUCUCUGUUGAAACCUGGUGCUGCUGAGGAUUUAAAGAGAGAGUCUGAUAUGAAAGCUGCUCACAACAUGGACCAAAAGAAAGUCACAAACUUGAAACUACAGAAUUUCCUUAAAAAAAAACAACUUGGUACAUGGUACCAGAGACAACUCCCAGAACAACUCAGCAGCAGCAGAGCCGAGAAAGGACAGCAGAGGAUGAGAACCUCGAAGAAAGAGAAGAAAAAGAAGCAAGCAAAGCAGAAAAAUGAGGAGCUGUGUCCCAAGAAACAAGUUAGCAAACCCCUCAUGGACGCUCUGUGGGCAAAAUUUAAGUUAAGAAGAAGCCCCACCGUGCAAGACUGUUAUUCACUGUCAUUUCAAUUUAGCAUGACAGACAAACAGGUCCAACAAUGGUUUCAUGAAAAGAGGAAGAAAUACAAGGAAGAAAUGUCGAAACAGAAGGAGAAGAAACAGGACUGAGGCAGGCGCUAGUGAGCUAAUAAUACCAGAGGAAAGAGGAAAUGGAUGUAAUGAACUCAUUUUUGAUGUUACAAAGACCAGCAAACCUACUUGGAAGACAUUAAAUUACACGGAAGUAAAAUUUGGCUGAAGGAACACCGGCCUCGCUUGAAGAUGAAGCCAUCCCGAUGCUCCAGGCACCAAUCCAGGGAAGCAGAUACUGAGAACUACUUCCCAACCCGAGGGAGGCUCCUCGCCACCUAGAGGACAACGCAGAUCUCCACUAUCAUAAGGGUUCAAGCAUUACGCUGGCCCACCCCGUCACCUGGUUGCAUAGUACCAGGUGAAAAGACAGACCCCCCCAAAUCCCGCCUCCCCCUGGGGACUUUUCCUGCCCCUUUUCUUUCUAAUAAAACUUCCCACUAAGCUCUGUCUGCCUGACAUGUUUGUCCCUCCGCCACGGUCACCCUCGCCUGCCAUGGAAUCCAGCAAGGUCCUCUUCGUGCUGUACCAUAACCAUGCCUGCCACCAGGGAUGGGAGCCAGACACUUCAACCCUUGUGCCCUAGACUGGAGUCAAAAACCGAAACACAACCAAGCCCCCAAAAUGGAGUUAUCUAGGCUUGCCCUGCAGUAGCCAGCCCAGGGCAACCAGCUGUGAACUCCUCCCUGGAGCCACCAGGGAACGUUGGAUACUAGGUGCCAAGUGACUCACCUAGGAGAGCAAAAGGAGCUCACACUGGGGUUGCCACAAGGAAAGACCUUCCAAGCCAAGACUUUAAGCUGAGUGCCUACCCUGUCCACACUUUAUCCUUCAGUAGGAAGCUGCAAGCCCAGGGACUAUUCCUAAGGGCACAUGGGACUGCCUUUCCCAGCACUCGUUGCUCUAAAUAAGGAAGCUGAACUGCUGGGAAAUAAUGUGAUUUAUUCAACAAGGGACAAAUCCCAAAUGACUGAGUCUGACUUUGUACUGUUCUGUCUCAACUACAAAAGCUUUUUGCUUUCAAUUAUAACAUGAAUAAUGAUACUCUA